AAGAUUAAUUCAAUAAAUGUUCUAUUAAAGUAUAAUCAAGAAAAUACAAUCACAAACACAACAAUAUACAUAUCCAGAACAUAUAAAACCGAAAAACUAAAAAGAAAAAGAAAAAGAAAAAGAAAAGGGGAAUCAUGAAAAUUAAACAUCCGCACAAGCUCUCCAGAACAAUAACAUAGAGUAAUUAAUAAGCCAUCGUACAGCACAUCCAAGAAAUCAGAUAGUAGUAGUGUAGUAAGCAAGGAGAACCAUGGCGGUUAUAUAUGUGAUCAUCUCCGGUGGUUUAGUUUGAUGGGGGUGGGGAGAGGAAUGGAAUGCUUGGAAUAGUUGAUGGAAUAGUUGGGAUUGAAGGGAUUGUUGUGGGAAAUGAUGGCAGUGGGUUGGCUGGCAAUGGAGGUAGUGUUGUGGGAAGAGUGGGCAUUGCUGAUUUUGGCAAAGAUGGAAUUUGAGAGCUUGGCAUUGGAGGAAGAGCAGUUGGACGAGUAGGCAAUGGGUUAGAGGGCAGGGGUGGCAAGGUGGCCUUGGGCUGUGUUGGCAAUGAAGGCAGCGGAGGCAAUGUGGUCUUGGGCUGUGUUGGCAAUGAAGGCAACGGAGGCAAUGUCGUCUUGGGAAGAGUUGGCACCGAAGGCAACGGCGGCAAUGUGGUCUUCGGCAGAGAUGGGAUGGUAGGGACGGGUAGUGCUGGCGGUGGAGCUGCUGGCGUGUCCAAAAGGUGGCGAGCUGCUUGGCUCAUACGGACGCUUGAAAGUGAUAGCACUGCCACCGAAAACAGAAGGAAGAAAAUCUUGGGGAAAGCCAUGGUUGAACUUGUGACGAAAGUAAAGCUUUGAUGAGGAGUUGCUAGGUAAUCUCUUAAAAUGUUGUUUGUUGUUAUGAAGAGUAGAAUGUGCCUAGUAUUUAUAGGAAAAAUGGGGGGAAGUCUCUUAGUGCUUAAGUUUGAUGAGUUGUGGUUGGAGGAAGCGGGAAAAAGAAAAAGAAAUAGUUAGUUCACCUCCCUAAAGACAUUGGUUCUAAAUUCAAAACCAAUCCAACGCAAAAGAAUGCUUCAACUCAUGCACGCAAGCCAGUACUAAAAUGGUUAUACGCAAGCCAGUACUAAAAUGGUUAUUGGACUUGCAUUAAUUUAGUGAGUUGGUGACGAACCAAAUAGGUAGUGCUGUUAUUUCCUUGGUAAUGGAUUGGCUAUGUACCUGUGUUAACUUCUCUCAUCUUUUUAAUUUUUUUUUGGCCUGUUUGUUUUUUUAAGGGUUUAAGGGGAAGACUAUGAAAACUUAAGCCGACUCCACUUAGUGUGAUAAAGUUUGGUUGUUGUUGUUAUUGUUGGUUGUUUUUGCAAGGGGUUCCUUUUGUUUUAUUUUAUCUUUUUUCUUUUCAAAUAUUCAUCUAAUUACAAGAUAUGUUUGGAAGUUUAAAAGCUGAAAUUUAUGGGCAAGUCAAGGGCACACAAUUGUAGGUGAACAAUGGGGGAAACGUACGUGCUUCAGUUGCUUCUUAAAUAGCAUAUCAACCAUAUUCAACUUCAAGUUCAGUCAAAUGUUAUAGCUCUAUAGGAGAAGAUUAAUUGACUAAUUAAUUUAUUACCAAAUUCGCCUUUGGCAAAUAUCGAACUUAAGACCUCUCACUUACAAGUAAAGAGGAAUACUACUAGACCUAAUAUUUAAUGACUUAUUAUUUAUAAUUUAAAUUAUGAAAGAGUUCAACAUGUAUUUUGGAGAGUAAAUAGACAAAGAGCUGAAAACCAAAGGGUAAAUUACACAAAACUACCUCAACCAUUGGUUGAACUAGGGGUGGGUUCGGUUCAAAUCGGUUCGGUUCAAUUUUUUUUGGUUCGGUUUUUUCCGGUUCGGUUUCGGUUUUUUUUCAAAAAAUGAAAAAAAAAAUUUGAAAUCUUAAAUUUUAACAUAUUCAACACAAUCAUAACAUAAAUAUUCUGACUAGACUUAAAGAUAAUGAAAAUAAACAUUUAAAGUUCAACUAGAAUUAUAACAUAAAGGUUUUUUUUAAAUAUUUUGGGUUUAAAGUUUAACUGUAAAUAGAUUUCUUUUUAGACGAUGAUGAUGGAGUACGAUCUUAUUCAUUCAUUUCUUUCUCUCAAUCUCUCUCUCUCUCUCUCUCUAUAUAUAUAUACAUGUAUUCUUCACUAGCAAUAAGAUAAACAUUCUAUAUAUAAUAUUAUUUAUUAUUGUUAUUAGUCAAGGUAACAAUUUUUUGAUAUUUCUUUAUCUUUAUGGUCUGAAUUUUUUUUAUCUAUAUAUGUGGUUACAUAAUAUAAUUUCUACAUUCUGUGUUCAGCUUCUACCACCAGCAAAUUUUGAAGAGGUGUUUAUCAAUAUUUUUGAAUAUAUAUUGAUAUACUUUUCAAAAUUGUUAGGCCACAGAAGCUACUAUACUUGGCCAUAGGUGAGAAAGUUUGAAUUUUGUUUUUGAUCUUGUAGUGUUUAAUAAACUCAUGAGACUUUUAUUCGCUGUUUGCUUUCCCUAAUCAACUGCAGUGCAGUUGAGAUAUGUGUUCUUAUAUAUGAUAUAAACUAGAAAUAUUGCAUGUAAUGGUAUAAGUUCUAAUUUUUGUUGUAGAUGGAGAAGCUGAGAAGACAAUUUGAAUUGGAAAGCAAACAAGUCCUACCAAAGCAGCAGUCCGAAGUAUCAUAUUCUAAUAUAAUAAAAUCAAAUAAUUAAAUAAAUAAAAUUAAAAAAAUAUUAAUUUAAUUAUUUCGGUUCGGUUCGGUUUCUAGAUCACCAAAACCGAACCGAACCAAAAGAGUUCGGUUCGGUUUGGUUUGGUUUUUUCGUUCGGUUCGAUUUUUUCGGUUUUGCUUCGGUUCGGUUUUCGGUUUUUUUCGGUUAUCGGUUUUUUGAACCCACCCCUAGGUUGAACCACAAUUCAUACCUCAUGUUUUAAAAAUUACAAUGUCAUACCUCAUCUUACAAAUUUGUUGCAAUGUCAGACCUCUGUCAAAUGUUCUAUUAAUUUCUCUGUUAAAUGCUGACGUGGCUUGAUACAGGUCCACUUCCUAGUCCAGUUGGAUUCAAAAUUAAUUCAAUAUUCAAAAACUAAAACUAAAAUUAUUUAAAUUUUUUAUUAAAGAAGAGGGACCCACCCCUUGCAAUCCCAUCCCCUCACCCUUCUUCCUCCAUCCACCAUCUUGGCCGCGAGUCUAUCGAUUCACUCAUUGCUGCUCAAGUCUUCCCAAUCCAUCCAACCCAUCUUCCCUGUCCAUCGCUCCCUACCCAUCUUCUCCGGAGUUCCUCCUCUAGCGCUUGCCCCUCUUCUUCUUCCUCCUUCUCCCCCUCCUUUUUUUUUUGGCGAGUCAUACUGCAUAAAAGGCAGGAAGGCGUUAAAGCUUUACAAAUCUUACCACCAUUCUAUUGGGAAUUGGGGACACUUGGGAUUUCGUAGGAAAUAGAGAUACAUUGCUUUUGGUAUUCUAUUAUGCCAUAAAAAAGCUUAAAGCUUUACCACCCAUUUUAAUGUCCUCCAUCACUUGGAUUUGUUUACAAAUUACAAAAUUGUUUCCAAUCCUAAGUGUCACCCUCGCACACUAAGAAAUCCUAAUAAAAUACUCAAAACAAUUUAUCCCCAAUCCCUAAUGCUACACCCUCACCAUCCUCUCCAAAGACAAGAUUGUCGGCAUAAAAAACCCUGGAAUUCCCUGGUUCGAUCCACCAUGAAUGGCGGCCAAACAACGUGAACUCUAGGUGGGUGUUGUUCGUGGCACUGAGAGUAGUGGAACGACGGUGGUGGCGACGAUGCUUGUUGUCAGAGUUCGUGGUCAACUCACCUGGGAAGCUUGCCCAAGAAACGAUGGUAGAGGAGACGGGUGGGGAAGAAGAGUGAGGGGAUGGGUUUGUAGGGUAGGUCCUAUAUUUUUAAAUAAAAACAUUUAAAUAAUUUUAGUUUUAGUUUUUAAAUAUUUAAUUAAUUUUUAAUCCAACAAGACUAGGAAGUGGGCUUGUAAUGACUUGUUCCCAAUUUUUACGGUUUAUAUAAUUUUAAUAAAUGAAUUUACGAAAAUGCCCUUCGAGGCAAAGAUGUUGACUCUUGUUGACUGCUUUGUCAUUUCAUGUCAGACUCGUUUUCUUGGCAUAUCCUCAUAGUACUCAUCACUACGAACGCGUGGGCACAAAUGGAACGCAAUUUGGAGUUAUAACGAAGGAGAUAUUAACGUUUAAAGUCGGGGGCAUUUAGUAAAUUAAUUAUUUCUAGAGAGAUACAAAUCUUUUUAGCUUAAUCUGGAAAGCCACGUGUGUGGCCCAGAUUUAAAGGCAAAAAGGAUGAGCGGUGGAGAUGGAGUAUAAAGGAGAGAAAGGAGGGAGGAGCCGAACUAAUCAGAAAAGGAGAGACAAGAGGGUGACCAAUCAGAGAAGAGAGAAGGGAAAGGAGGGAAGGGAGAAGGAGAGAACCGGCCAAACCCAAUUUCACCACCCGACCCGCCAACUUGCCCCACUCAUAUCUCCUUCGUACGAACUCCGUUUUGGGUGAUCUUGGUGUCCAUGGAAAGCCCUUGAUGAGCCCUACAUUUAUGUAGUUUUAGAUUUCCAAAUUUCUUACCUAAAUUCACAAAUCGAAGCCACAAACCCACGAAGGCAUCCGGCGGUUUUAACCUUUUUUCGGUGACUCUGGCCAGUUUCACUGUCGAUUAUCACACCGAAAGACUCCUCUCAACCCUAGGAGCAAGGCCCAAGCUUUGGUGGUGGCAUUGGAAUUUGUUUUGGUGGUGAAUCAACAACUACCCAAUUUUAAGGGUUUCCAACGGGAUUCCUAUAAAAUUUGAAAUUUUUUAGAAAUAGUUGAAUUUUCCGGUGAGUAAGGGCAGCCGACAGCCACCUGCGGUGGUGCGUGGGCCGAGACGUCCCCUGACCUUCUUAGGUUAAAUUUGAAUACCCUGAUUCCAUUGGUGAAGUCCGAUUGACGAAUUUUUGUCAUUUGAACGUAGUUCCAUUAAGGUCCGCCGUUUGAUUAUUAUAGCAAUUGAUGAUCCAACCGUUGGAUCGUCACCAAACUUUGAUACGUUAUAAUACGUAAUAUUUGAGGAUAUUAGAAACUAUGGAUCGGGAAUCCGGCGUACGGAUCUUCUCGAAUAGGAUAUGUAAGUUAUAUGUUCUAUUGAUAAGAAUUAUAAGAUAUGAUUUGAUAAUUGUUCUAGGUGCCGAUUGUUCGUGACGCCUUGAUGUUUGAGCUAGGGAGUUGUAGUGCGGACUCCAGGUGAGUGGGCUUUUGGUUUUCUAUAUAUACAAUAUAUGUUUUCUAUUUUCCCAGAAAUUGUUUUAAAUGGAUUUACGUUUUUAAAUGUCAUGUCAUGCUUGCAUUUUUUAUUAUUAUAUGCAUUGGUAUGUAUAUGUAUAUUAUUGUAUGACGUUGCGGAGGCCAAGUAAGUUUCAGGUGAGUACUGUAUGAUGUUAGUGGUUGCAUUGGUUAGGGUUAUACGUAGAGGCAUGUAGAGCUUAUUAUCCUGCACCCCGGUGUUAGUGCUCCCUCCCAUGGCCAGGGCACAGUCCUUCAAGUGAAGUUCGCCUCCUGCACCGCACGCUCACCUUGAAGUUUGGUUCACAGCCCUAUCAUACAUACCACAUUAGGUGGUUCUGACUUGUAGGUGACUCGCGAUUAUUCGCACAGCCUUCACAUGAUCGUAGCACUUGAGCGUACUUAUUUACACCCAGCCUUGUCAUACAGACCACAAUAAGUGGUUCCGACUCUUGUGCAGGCAUAUUUGAUGAGGUAUAGGUUUAGCCGUACAUGUCACGUUAGGUGACUCCGGCUGGCAUAUCAUUUUGCAUUGCUUUAUUUCACCUGGCUUACUUAAUUUUUUAAUGAGAUACUUGACAUAACAUAAACUCGGUUUUCACUAUUCUCGAGCAUGAUUUCUAUAUACGUAUGUAUUAUUAUUUUCUGGGAAAUUAUACGGGUUUUACGGUGAGGGGUUAUAAUGCUUUCAAAAGGUUUUUAUUAAAAACUUUAUUUUCUGGCCCACUCACCCUUGUUUUUGCACCCCUCUAGGUUUUUAGCGGCUGAAAGUUCGUAUCGCCGAGGAUUCGUGAUGAAUCUCAGUAUAGAUGGCUACCUCUGAGGGUAUGAUCCUUACCCACACUACUGUACUUUACUUAUGCUCUGGCAUUGCGUGUGAAAUUGGCUCAUUCCCACUCAUAGCGUACUCUUGUCUUUAGGCACUUUUAGGUUUAAAUUUAUUCACAUUUUCCACAUCACUAUACUUUAUGGCUUCGUCACCUUCCAAGUGUCGGCCAACACAAUUCGAUUCGGAGUCCUAAUGGACAUUCCAGAUCGGGGUGUGUCAGGGCCAGCCUCAAGCCACUUCAGCAUUUAACUGAAAAACUAACAAAAAAACUGAUGGAGGUUUGACAUUGCAACAAAUUUGUAAGAUGAGGUAUGCCAUUGUAAUUUUAAAAAAUAUGGGGUAUGAAAUUGUGGUUCGACCAAUAGUUGAGGUAGUUUUGUGUAAUUUACCCAAAACCAAAAGAACAAGGUUCGCUUACUAAUCUGUAAUCAGAAGGAGAUGAGUUGAAUUGAAGAAGAGUUUGGAAUAGAGUGGAACCAAAAUUAGAUUCCUAUUGAAACUCUUUACUAAUAUUUUUAGGAAUUGAAGUAAGAAUAGUAUUGAACUGUGUAAGUUGUUUACUAAUUUACAUGAACCUGAAUGAAAAUCAAUGUGAUUAUUGAAAUGCUCUCUAAACUUUAAUUUUCGACUACGAUGAUGUACUUCUAGAGUCCGAGCACUUGCACCCCCAAGCUUACAACGAGGCCUUUACUUACUUCAGUGUCCGUUGCCAUUUUCCUCUGCCUCCCAGCCCCUCAAUUGGGACCUCCACUUCUACGAUCAGCUCCAUAACCAAAUCGUUGGUGGAAAGCCCAAAAUGUGAUGGUCCUUACUAUUCUCCAAAGGUUGAACUUUGGAUUUUGUUUUCUACCUUGACUUUUUUUUUGCUUGCUAAAUUACACUUUACCACCUCAGGUUUGAGGUCUAUUGCAACAUCAUAAAACAUCUUUAAAACAUUUCACUUUCAUACCUCAAGUAAUAUUUUAUUUUAAUAUAAUACAUCCUGUUUGUACCAUACUUAGGGCCUCCGUAUUUAGAUCUCGUAUAAAUACUCGGAGGACUCAAAUGUAAUUAUGUAAUAAAGGAAUGGGCAAAUAUGUAAUAAGUGAUGAGCCCUUAUUCUAUAAAAGGACCAUUCACUCUCCUCAUUAAGGGAGGCCAAUUCUUAGGCCUGAGAUCCCCAAAGUCUCUCACCUUCUCAAAGCCUCUCAUAUUCAUUACAGAGGCUCUCUCCCUUAUAAUCCUCUCAGAGAAAUACAAUAUCAGUGUGGACGUAGCCCAAACAUUGGGGUGAACCACGAUACAUCUUGUGUUCUUUACAUUUCUUGCAGAUUCACGGUCGGAUUUACCUUGUUCCAAGACCUCCGGUUUUGUGCAUCAACAUUUAGCGCCGUCUGUGGGAAACGACAAAAAAAAAAAAACUAUAUCGGUUCUCUUUCAUUUUUUUCACCUCCGCCGUGAAUCUACACAACCCUUUCCAGAAAAACAUUCACUAAACUCCAAAACUCAACCACAGUUUCUUCUUUCGUUGCUCUCUCUCAAAUCUUAUUUAUUUUCUGCUGUUGUUCUACGGAUUUUUACUACUUCCACUUGAAUCUGUCUUCUUCUUCUUCAUUGCUUUCUGUUUUAACGAGUAAUUACACCAACAACAAAAGUUGAUCAGACGGUGGAGCUGGUCAGCACAAGGUCUCUUUCUCCCAGGACCUCUACCCUAUCGGAAUCGUUCAACAGAACCUGGCAGAGCAGGAAACACUCUAACCCUGACGAAACGUCGUAUAGAGGAGCCUCAAACGCGACAUGUCGUUCCUCUCCAGGAGGCGAUAUGUGCGAGCAUUUCUCGUGGGAAGUUAGUAUUCAGAGCCACUAACAACAACCCGAGCUCGAACUCGAUGGUUCCCACAUUCGCGAACCUGAUCUGGGUCGAGAUGGCGGUGCUUGCUAACCUUUCGAUGCAAAUCACCAGAAGAAUGCCGGAGCUCUUCAGUAUUCGGCUCGGCAACGUCAUGGUCACCGGAUCUGACCCGGCCGAUGCGAAGAGGAAAAGAAGUGGGACCUAGUGACGAAGCUCGGCAGCCUUAUGAAGGAGGGCAAGAUCCACAGCCUGGAGCGGAUCUAUCUCCACUCCCUCCCCAUCAAGAAGCACCAGAUCUUCGACACUCUCGUCACCCCCUGUAGUUUGAAGGAUGAGGUCAUGAACGAAGCAGCUUGCCGAAGUUUGCAGAUUCAGGAACGAAGACGGCCACUCCUUCCUCCACGUCGCCGUCUUCUCAGGCCGCUUCGAGGUGGCGAAGUUGUUGAUUGCUCGCCGAAGCUUUCUUUCUCUCUGCAUCUCACUUUUAGAUCUCCAUUUUCUGAUGGGAAAAAGGGCGAGUCAGACGGGCCGGGUCAGGGUCAAAUACGCACGGCGGGCUUGCUUUGGGGAUUGCAGAGUUAUCUAUAUUGGCAGGAGUUACAGUCCUGGACGUACUGGACGUACUGACAGUUCAUAAUGAGGGGAAAGAGUUAUAGUCCAUCACCACCACCGAGGGGAAGAUAUGGUAGGAGGCGACAACGAAGUCCUAGCCCUAGGGGUCGCUAUAGCGGUGGUCGCGGUAGCAGUAGAGAUCUUCCUACAAGUCUUCUAGUUCGCAACCUUCGCCAUGAUUGCAGGCCAGAAGAUCUCCGCAGGCCAUUUGGGCAGUUUGGUGUGCAUAAAGACAUCUACCUACCAAAGGAUUAUUAUACUGGAGCUUUUAAGCUAACUUGAAGCGGCGGAGUGGCACUUUAGGGCAGUGGAGGAUGAGGAUUUUUAGCCACAUUGGCGGAAACAGAGAGACCGACAGUGGAAUAAAGUGGGGUUUCUGAAAUUUUAGGCAAUGGCAUCGGUCUUGCUGGAAAGGGGUGCACAGAGAGAUGAUAGCAGCGCACAGACAUACAGAAAGAGAAAAGAAAAGAAAAAGCAAAGCGCACAGAAGAGAGAGAGACGCAGUGGAAAGCAAAAAGGAAAAUAGCAGAGCAGAAAAAGAAAAAGGGAAGAAAAGGAAUACAUAAAGGAAAAGCCAAGAUUAUACCUUUGCUUUUGUCGACCACCAAAGCAGAAGAUGCCAUCAACUCUUGAAAAAGAAAACUUUUAUCAUGCAUGUUCCCACUUUUCUAAAGAAGCCAUUGGAAGACGCACAUGGAAAAAAGAUCUGCAACAACCCAGUAUGCACCAACGGCUGCUUUAUUUACUUUUGAAUGAUGUAAUUUAUUUUUCUUAUCUUUCGGAGACAUCUGUAUAAACCUCAUCAGAAGGUAUAUAUAUAUAAAAACGGCAAGCCCAAAAUAAUGGGCUGGAAUGUUAUGGGGAGGGCGAAGGCCCAUAUGCCCAAAAAAGCCAGACCCUCUAUUAUCACCAACCAGGUGAUCAAAAGUACGUCCAGUACUACAAAAAAUUAUUCGGCAACUUGCCUCUAUUACCACUAACCAAGUGAUCAAAAGUACGUCCAGUACUCCAAAAUUAUUCGGCACCCUGUUGCUAUUAUCACCAACCAAGUGAUCAAAAGUAUGCCCAGUACUCCAAAAUUAUUCGGCACCCUGCCGCUAUUAUCACCAACCAGGUGAUCAAAAGUACACCCAAUACUUCACAAUUAUUUGACACCCUUCUGCUAUUAUCACUAACCAGGUGAUCAAAAGUACGCCCAGUACUCCCAAAAUUAUUCGGCAGCCUGCCGCUAUUAUCACCCACUAGGUGAUCAAAAGUACGUCCAGUACUCCAAAAUCAUACAUGACCAUCACUCAUGUCAAUCAUACAUAAACAUUCAUGACCAUCACUCAUGUCAAUCAUACAUAAACAUUUAUAACCAUCAUUCAUGUCAACAUUCAUGAGCAUCGCUCAUGUCAACAUUCAUGAGCAUCACUCAUGUCAACAUCCAUGAGCAUCACUCAUGUCAAUCAACAUAAACAUUCAUGAGCAUCACUCAUGUCAAUCAGCUUCGAAAACUUCAUUUACAGAGCUCCAGCUUCGAGAGCUCCAGCUUUAAAAGCUUCAUUUACAAAAGCUCCAGCUUCAAAGCUUCACUUGCAAAGCUUCACCUACAAAGCUUCAGUACAGGGUAUACAAAUACCGCCUCCAAACAACCGCCACUUCGGCCCAUACAUGGAUUCAAUUUGAAGUCUCUAGCCAACAGACUCUAUUGACCGAAGACUUGGGGGACUACAUUAUGUACCAUAUAUUGGGCCUCAACUGGGCCUCAUGAAAGAUACUUAGGGGACUUAGCCCAUUAUUUAUGUAUUGAGGAGCGAGCCUUUAUUCUAUAAAAGGGACUCCCUCACUUUCAUUAGAAAGCACCCAUUAUUCAUGUACUGAGGAUCGAGCCCUUAUUUUAUAAAAGGGACUCCCUCACCUUCAUUAGAGAGCAUUGCCGCCUGCUGAGCAACCGCCUCGCCGCGAGCAUCAGUCCUAACCCAUCACUUAUGUAUUGAGGAGCGAACCUUUAUUCUAUAAAAGGGACUCCCUCACCUUCAACGCCACAAGCCGAGCUAACCAAGGCAACAUAAGCCACAAGCCGAGCAGCCUCGCAACAUGUGCUACUUAUAGUUGAGCAUCAUUUCACUUUGAGCACCGCCUCAUAUCAAGUCUCAGUUCAAGACGACAUCUAGUUACUUCAGCCCACACAUGGACUGAAUUUCAAGUCUCCAGCUAAAAGACUCUCUUGACUGAAGACUUGGAGGACUAUUGUUUGUAACAUACUUAGGGCCUCCGUAUUUAGAUCUCGUAUAAAUACUCGGGGGACUCAAAUGUAAUUAUGUAAUAAAGAAAGGGGAAAAUAUGUAAUAAGUGAAGAGCCUUUAUUUUAUAAAAGGACCCCUCACUGUCCUCAUUAAGGGAGGCUAAUUCUUAGGCCUGAGAUUCCCAAAGCCUCUCACCCUCUCAAAGCCUCUCAUAUUCAUUACAGAAGCUAUCUCCCUCAUAAUCCUCUCAGAGAAAUACAAUAUCAGUGUGGACGUAGCCCAAACAUUGGGGUGAAUAUGUAAUAAGUGAUGAGCCCUUAUUCUAUAAAAGGACCCUUCACUCUCCUCAUUAAGGGAGGCCAAUUCUUAGGCCUGAGAUCCCCAAAGUCUCUCACCUUCUCAAAGCCUCUCAUAUUCAUUACAGAGGCUCUCUCCCUUAUAAUCCUCUAAGAGAAAUACAAUAUCAGUGUGGACGUAACCCAAACAUUGGGGUGAACCACGAUACAUCUUGUGUUCUUUACAUUUUCUGCAGAUUCACGGUCGGAUUUACGUUGUUCCAAGACCUUCAGUUUUGUGCAUCAACACAUCCGUUACAUUUUUCAUUUAUUGGUUCGUUAAGAGCUGAUAUGGCUGCCACAUUUGCAUCACGUGGCAAAAAAAAUAAUUUUUUAUGCAUUUAUAAUAUUAUAAUAAUUUACCCUAUUAAAAAAAAACCCAAAAAUCUUCCCCAACCCCUGCAACCCAAACCCCCAUCACACCCACCCCCACCUCACCUGCAACCCCCCCAGCCCGACUCUGCCCCGUCCUAAAUCGCAAUCCCUAAUCCCCAGCCCCAGCAAUCUAAACCCACCCCAUUUUCUAGAACCCCUUCCCCCCAUACCAAAAAACCAUCGUCCUGGUCCUCGUCCUUAUCCAAACCUUCGCCCACCCGAUCUAAAAAACCCCAACCCGCUUCCUCAGAUCCUAUUCUCACCGAUGCCUCCUUAGAUAACUUGGAUCUCAGCUCGUUUCUGCUUAAGUUGGCCUGGGACACAAUCACCUCCGGUGAAGGUCCAAACAAGGCGUUGGAGUACACAGUCUGGGCGUCUAAGUAUUUCGAGUGGUGCGCGAUGGACAGCGAGCCAAGCCUGGAUGACACACCCCAACCCGGAAUGUCCACUUGGACUCCGAAUCGAACUGUGCUGGCCAACACCUGGAAGGUGACGAAGCCAUAAAGUGUAGUGUGGUGGAAUAUGUGAAUAAAUUUAAACCUAAAAGUACCUAAAUAUAAGAGUGCACUUGUGAGCAGGAAUGAACCCAUUUCACACAUGAUAACAGAGAAUAAGUAGAGUACAAUAAAGUAUGAUGACAUUUAUAUCAUCAAAGGUAUCCACCUACAUUGAGAGUUGCCAAGAAUCUUUGUCGAUAAGAAAGCUUAGCUAUUAAAACCUGGAAGGGCAAAAAACAAGGAUGAGUGGGCCUGAAAAUAAAGUUUUAAUAACCUUUGAAAACGUUAUAACCCCUCGCCAUAAAACAUGUAUAGUUUCCAAGAUAUACAUACUACAUAUAGUAUGGAAAUACUCACCGUAGCCUGCAACAUAUCAAGAUAUCAAUACGACACCAUAGUUCAUAAUAAAAUCAGAUGCUCAUCGAUCUAUGCUAGCACACAAGUCGGAGUCGUCUAAUGCAACCUGUAUGACUGAAUUGAUGCUCAUCAAUCUAUGCUAGCAUACAAGUCGGAGUUACAUAAUGCAACCUGUACGACAAGACUGGGUGUAAUCAUAAUAUAUGCUCUAGUGCUACAAUCACGUGAAGACUGGCGCUAUUUGUGGUCACAUACGAGUCUGAGUUGCCUAUUGCAACCUGUACGACAAGAUGUCGGAGUUGCCUAUUGCAACCUGUACGACAUGACUAGCACCUACUUGGAUCCAAGGCGAGCAUGUGGUGCGAAUAUGAACAUACACGUGAAAGACUAGACCUGGCCAUGGGCGAGCACUAACACCAGGGUGCAGCAAUGAUGAGCAGACUACAUAAAUACAAUCAUGCCAUAGUAGUUCGAUAGUUCUAAUCAACAUAAUAUCAUUCAUAGCCGUAGGUGUAAUCAUGGCAUCAAUAAACAUACGCAUACCUGUGCAUCCCGUAGGAUUUAUGAUCACUUCGUAAUUUUCCGUUAUCUCGCUAAUUCUUAUAAGCAUUAGUCUAAACUAGGCAUACGUAGUAAAUUCUCUUUCAAUGUAUAAAUGGAAACUAACAAAUAUGUACAUACUAUAUAAAAGAAAAGACCCAUUCACCUGAAGUCCGCGCUACAACUUCCUAGCAUGAAUAUCGAGGCAUCACGAACAAUUGUCUCCUAGAACAAGUAUCAAAUCACGUCUCAGAAUUCUUAUCGAUAAAACACGUAUCUUACAUAAAACACAUCCCUAAGGAAAUUCUAGAAUGAUUUGUAACCCAUUGACAAAAAGUCAACCGUCAGUCAAAGGUCGACGAUAGGGUCCACAACCUUACGUAACUCGAUCCGGAAGAUCUACACCUUGGAUUUCCGAUCCGUAACCUCCCAAGACUUUUAAUAAGCUUCUAGAACAACAUCCUAAAGUUUCGGAACGAUCCAACAGUUAGAUCUCCGACAAUCGCAAAUUUAAGUGGUGGUCAACGUUGGAUUUUACAAACUUUAGAAAUUCAAUUCGGGAAGAUCCGUAAGUUGGAUUCCCGAUCUGUGAGUUCCUAAUGUCCACAAAUAUUACGUACUAUCACAUAUUAGACCAAGUGGUGGUCUCAAUUAAAACUAUAUUCAUACGACAAGAUUUCGUCAAUCAGACGUCACAUAUGGAAUCAGGGUAUCCAAAUCAGUUUAGGAAGGGCAGGUGGGGUCUCAGCCCACUCGCAGCUGCCCCAACUCGUAGGAAAAUUCAACCAUUUCCAAAACUUACCAAAUUUUAUAGAUGUAUAGAUCUCAAUGAGUGGAGAAAUUUUCAUACCUGGGCCAGAGUCUAAUUCGGCUGAGAAACACCUGAAAACUACCUCGAUUUGCCAGAACCCUUGAAUUUGGGUGUUCUUGAUCCGACACCAAAACAGCUCCGACUCCUUAACCCACCCAUGGGCUUUGUUCUUAGACUCAAGGGACACCUGAGGAUGGUGAUGGUUGACGGAAAACCUUUCAGAAAUGGGAAGAUCGCAGCCGUGCACCCUUCGGACUCUCGGUUCGAAUUCCACAAAUUAGAGCCAAAUUGGCUCAGGUUUUUGUAUGAGAAGAGUAGAGGGAAGGAUCCUAGGAUGAUUCCAAGUGAUGAAAGGCCUUAAUUUGCUAGAGAACCACCGGAAAACUCGUUGGAAUCGAUGGCGCUGCUGGGUUAGGUCGAAAUGGAAAAACGGGUAAAGGAAUUCGGUGUCCCUCCUCUUCCCUCCUUUCCUCUUCUCCCAUUUUUCACCUCAUUCCUCUCUCCUCUCCCGAUUCGGCCAUCUCCUCACCUCUUUCUCUGGUGGUCCAUCCUCAUUCUCUUCUCUCUUCCUGCUAUCUAGCUGUUUCUAUCUCAUUUCUUUUUUUAUUUUUUAUUUUUUAUUUAUAAUCAAUCCCAACCAUCCAAAUUUUUCCUUUCUCCAUCACAACCCUCCACUUGGCGCUUCCAGAUUAUGGUUAAAUGACCAUUUCGCCCAUAACUUCGUUUGUUAAUAACUCAUUCGUUAUAGCUCCAAAUUAAGUUCUACUUGCGCCCACACGUUCGUAGCGACGAAUACUACGAGGAUACGACAAGAAAAUGGAUCUUACGUGACACGACAAGGCGGUCAACAAAAAUCAAAGCCUUUGCCUCAAGGGCAUUUUUGUAAUUUCACUCAUCAAAAUUUAUAAAAAUAUAAAAUUAGGGACGGGUUGUCACACUGGACCUGGCCAUGAGCUUGGACGGUGAUGCGAGGCGAGCUUGGACGGUGCACAAUGGAUGGAGACUAAACCCGACAUCCUCAUUGAAGAAGAAGAGAGUGGAGGAGAGGGGAAAUGUGGGAUGGGGGGUUGCGGGGGAGGUGGGGGUGGGGUGGGGCGGAGGAGAGAGAGUGGGUCGGGGGGCGGGGGAAUGGUUUCUGGGUUUGAUUGGUUUUUUUUUUUUGCCACGUAGCACAAAUUUGGCAGUCACGUCAGCUCUUAACGGACCAAUGGAUGAAAAAUGUAACAGAUGUAUUAUAUUGAAAUAAAAUAGUACUUGAGGUAUGAAAGUGAAAUGUUUUAAAGAUGUUGUAAGAAUUGAAAUCGACCUCAAACAUGAAGGGGUAAAAGGAAAUUUACCCUUUUUUUUUAUCAGAACUUCUUUGACUGAAUUGGGGGUUGGGGUUUGUUUAAGGUACUUUAAGGAGUAUACUUGAAUUUAUUCAAUUCUACUUCAAAUCUCCUUAUUUUAACCGAAUUUUUGGAUUUUCUCAUAAAAUUUUAUUUUAAGAGUAUAUUAGUACUUUCAUAUUAACUUUUGGCUAUAAUUAUCAUAAAUUUAAAAUGAUAGCUAGAAUUCUAUUUUAAGAUCCAAAAUUUAGUUAGUUUCCAAAUUUUCCUUCUUUUUCUUUUAAUGCAACUACACCCAUCCUAGACCAACCAUAAGCGGCCAAUAUUUAUCCAAACCAGGCACUAUCUUCAAAUUGCUCAACUCAACCUAGUGGUGAUCGGUAAUUGCCUAUACAAAAAACUAUACAAAAAGUUUCUUUCUUCUCUCGAUUCCAUCCUUUUGUUUUUUUCUUCUUUCCUCAAACUCUUAAUGAAACUAAAUUUAGGAGAAUAAAUAAUAAUAAAAUAAAAGACAAAAGCACUCAUGAUAGCAAACAGAUCCUACUAUGACGAUUUUUUUUCUUCUUAAUCUCUCUUCUCCAAGGCAUCGAAACCGCAUACUUUUUCUUUUAUUUUUUUCUUCAUGGCAGCGGCAAUUUAUUUUUUUCUAACAAUUGUAGAAAAUUUUUACUUUCAGAUUCAUGGCUUGUGGGUGCACAAAGAAAAUUAGUUUCGUGCACUCACAUGGAAACCUUAAUAGCAGAAUUCAACUAAGAAUCAAACUCUGCUUGAUACCAAAUUGAAAAUGAAAGGUUUUUGAUAAAUUUAGAAUUCUCUACAAUCUCACAUUUCUCAAAUACAACUUCAAUAAUUUAUUCUGCUCCGUAACGAGGUAUUUAUAUGAAUACAACGCAACAAUAAUAGAAAAUAAAUUAAAUCAAACCUGUGUUCACAAAAUAAUGAAACGUAGACCAAAUCAAAUCUCUAAAAAGCUUUCAUUUAUAUUUUUCAACAGUGCAUAAUUUCUACGUAGUUAAAAGAGCCUUUGAUUGUUGGAAAGUUUUUUUAUUUUUUUUAAUUUUUUUUAAACACAACUUCAGACAUUUGCUGACACACUCUAAUACAAGUUCCACAUAAAGCGGUAAUUCCUAUCACAAAGAGAUGUAAGUAAACGUAUUAAUUUUGUAUGCACAAAUAAAACUUUUAGUAAUUACUUGUAAGAAAGCUAACAAGUGUUAUUAUCCCUUCCUUAUCAAAAUGUCGCUCCAUUAUUAAUGUCGAUCAAUUGGCGGAGUGGAUCAAAUAUCGAAACUAAUGAGCAAAUCUGGCAGCAAGAAGAAUGCCUUGCAUAUUUGGGCUCAUCACUUUGUUGUGACAUAUGGGCUCAUCUGGCCAAAUUCUAUCGUUUAUUAUGUUUGAAGUUUUUUGAGACAUUUUUUUCGACAUUUGGUAUAACGUAAUUCUUUUCCUAUUUGAAAUUCUAAAGAGUAUAGGGCUAAGAAACAUUGUAUAAAUUAUCUUUACAUUAUGUUUGGAUGAAGAAAAUAAACUUGGAAUUUGGAUAAAAGUCAGAUUUGGAUUCAUAAACAUAGAAAUUUAGAAUUUCCGCAUGAAAAAAAAAAAACUUGGAAUUUGGGACCUCCAAUUCCUAAGUUUAAAUUUCACGUAAAUAUGUGUCAUUUACCAAUUUCUAUGAUUGAGAGUUUGAAAAUAACAAAUUCCGUAUUCAAUUCCAUUGUUCUUUUAAGUUAACCAAAUAAGAAAAUUCACAAAUUCUAGAAAAUAAAAUCCCGUUAUUUCAAUUUCCAUCAUUUUAAAAUUCCUUAGUAAUUUUAAAUUUCAUCAUCCAAACAUAGUAUUAGAGUGCUACACUUUGUUAUCUUUUGCACCUUUAACUAGUAAACUUUCACGUUCACUCACUCUCUGCUGGAUUUCCAAUUACUUGGUUUUUAAUUAAUGUUAUUGUUUAAUAUAGUUUUUUUUUGUCAUGCUACGUCAAUUACUCUUACCAAAACAUUGGGUUCCAAGAUUAGCUAAUAGAGCGGUGGAUUUUGUGGCGUUGCAUGCUGGAGCGGAGAUGUGCGGUUUUGUUUGGGUCCAUCGACCUCCAUCUUCGUUUGUCCGUGUACUGAAUAAGGAUGAUCUCCCUUGCCCUCCUUGUUUUAGUUUUUCUCAUUGUUGUUUCGUGUUGACCCGUGGUGGCUUUCUGUACUUCUCUGGCUUCGGCCCUGGUUAUGCUAUUAUCCAGUUCUCCAAAAAAACAAAAAAACAUUGCUCCAACCUGCCUUUUCUUUCCUUUUGUAUUGGAAUAUGAUUUUGACACUCAUUUUUUUUCUCCACGUGCUUCUAGCGUUUGAAUUGAUUAAAUAAAAGAUAAUUAAUGGACCGAAAUAAACAGGAUGUGCAGAAGGAGGAUGGAGAAAAAUGAUUUUUCUCUUUUCUUUCAACUGACUUCAUAACAGUUUCUUGUAACAAAUGCAUUUUGGUCUACUUCAGUCUGGUAAGUUAUGGUAGGAAGAUAUAUAUAUAAUCCCACUUUUCCUUUUUCCAUAUUUUUUUUUCCUCUUUUUGCCUUUUCCUUUUCCACCUACCUCUUCGGUUAAUAUCAUAAUCUAGUUUAUCAUAAACACUUCGAACAAAGAUCAUACAUGGUAAGAUUAAUUCAAUAAAUGUUUUAUUAAAGUAUAAUCAAGAAAAUACAAUCACAAACACAACAAUAUACAUAUCCAGAACAUAUAAAACAGAAAAACUAAAAAGAAAAAGAAAAAGAAAAAGGGAAUCAUGAAAAUUAAACAUCCGCACAAGCUCUCCAAAACAAUAACAUAGAGUAAUUAAUAAGCCAUCGUACAGCACAUCCAAGAAAUCAGAUAGUAGUAGUGUAGUAAGCAAGGAGAACCAUGGCGGUUAUAUAUGUGAUCAUCUCCGGUGGUUUAGUUUGAUGGGGGUGGGGAGAGGAAUGGAAUGCUUGGAAUAGUUGAUGGAAUAGUUGGGAUUGAAGGGAUUGUUGUGGGAAAUGAUGGCAGUGGGUUGGCUGGCAGUGGAGGUAGUGUUGUGGGAAGAGUGGGCAUUGCUGAUUUUGGCAAAGAUGGAAUUUGAGAGCUUGGCAUUGGAGGAAGAGCAGUUGGACGAGUAGGCAAUGGGUUAGAGGGCAGGGGUGGCAAGGUGGCCUUGGGCAGUGUUGGCAAUGAAGGCAACGGAGGCAAUGUGGUCUUGGGCUGUGUUGGCAAUGAAGGCAACGGAGGCAAUGUCGUCUUGGGAAGAGUUGGCACCGAAGGCAACGGCGGCAAUGUGGUCUUCG
Molecule: long non-coding RNA, 18262 nt
Filed under: Malus domestica (apple)
Lineage: Eukaryota; Viridiplantae; Streptophyta; Magnoliopsida; Rosales; Rosaceae
Description: long non-coding RNA (MDOM_LNC000651)
Source: RNAcentral